ACCAAGUAGUUGCCAAAAGAGGAAGGGAAUAGAUAAUCCGCCUGCCCGUAUAUUGCACGUAGGUAGUCUAGCACCAAGCGACACUAUGGAAAGUUUCAGCAGUGGAAAGUUUCCACUUUGAAUUGUGUACCUAGAUUAUAAGAAAUUUGUAUAUAUAUCCCGUAGGAAUACGGAAAUACAUCUGCAUUCGCUAACAACCAGCAGUGAUUUUGGAAAAAGAGAGCAAAAAAUGGAUAUAUAUGACAGUUUUUCCGAUGAAGAUGUUCAAAAGGAUAGUUUCCGCGAAGUGGAGUACCUAAAUUCGACAAGUUCGGAGAAUGAAUCUGAAGCCUCGCAGCAGCCAACUAGAAAGCGACGAAGGAUCGAUAAGGCGGGAGAGCUUGAUACUGCUUUUGUUUCUUUGUUGGCUGAAUUUGCACCGGUGUUGCUGGAAAAGUCACAGACUCCAUCUAUGAAAGCAAAAAAAGGGGCAGCUUUGAAAAAAUUAUCCAACGAGCUUGUUCUUCGGUAUGGAUUGGAAUUAACAAACAAAUUUAUGAAAAGGUACACAAUUUGAAAAAUCGCGUGAAGUCAAAAACAGAUCUAAAGAAAACAGGAAACAAGAAAAUUAUGCUGAAUGAUGCGGAGCAGAAAUUUUACGAAUUAUUGGGCGGUACCGGCAAUCCAGCUAUAUCGAAAAGAUCAUACGGUAUUUCUAUUGGAACAGACGAUUCACAAGAAGCAGGACCUUCCAAUGAACCACUUCCCAGUUCUGCUAGCACUUCAACGCCCGUGGUCACGCCGAGUACAUCUCGUACGACGCGUACAAGCACACCACGGGUAAGAAAAUAUUUCCCAUACAUUUUGAUAUUCUUUUAAAGCCUAACGAAAAAAAAUAUCGCAAAGUGAAUUAAUAGAGCUGCAAAACACGGUACUGCGAGAGCAGCUGAGCUUAAUUCGCACACAGGACAAUUUAAUUCGUCAACAGCAAGAAUUGAACAUUCAACAACAAAGUGAACGGCAU
This is a long non-coding RNA of Topomyia yanbarensis, 1003 nucleotides long. RefSeq lists it as uncharacterized. NCBI's taxonomy places the organism in Eukaryota, Metazoa, Arthropoda, Insecta, Diptera, Culicidae. The record is from RefSeq and is a predicted model, not a curated record. The transcript has 4 exons.